UACAGAGGGUGCGAGCGUUAAUCGGAGUUACUGGGCGUAAAAGGGCGCGUAGGCGGUUAUAUAAGUGAGAUGUGAAAUCCCUGGGCUUAACCUAGGAACUGCAUCUCAUACUGUAUGACUGGAGUAUUGUAGAGGGUAGUGGAAUUUCCGGUGUAGCGGUGAAAUGCGUAGAGAUCGGAAGGAACACCAGUGGCGAAGGCGGCUACCUGGACAAAUACUGACGCUGAGGCGCGAGAGCGUGGGGAGCAAACAGG
RNAcentral lists this ribosomal RNA (254 nucleotides) under uncultured bacterium. RNAcentral describes it as "partial 16S ribosomal RNA". It matches the Rfam family "Bacterial small subunit ribosomal RNA", at positions 524 to 776 of the family's 1533-position model. The record is from RNAcentral.